Onychostoma macrolepis is the source of this 240-nucleotide long non-coding RNA. RefSeq lists it as uncharacterized. NCBI's taxonomy places the organism in Eukaryota, Metazoa, Chordata, Actinopteri, Cypriniformes, Cyprinidae. The transcript is spliced from 3 exons. The record is from RefSeq and is a predicted model, not a curated record.
GGUGUUUUCUUCACUGGCUCACUGACUGAAUACCUCUUUCCGGCGAAUUAUCUAAUCAGAGACAACAAAGUGCAAAUGUGUGUACGAAUAUGCCUGCCUUUGAACGAGCAGACACAGCCUGUUACAGAAGAGACUUUACACAUCCGACGCAUGUAAGGCGUACCCCACCAACAGCUUAUAGACGCGGAUGACCCGAGGACUGAGGCCCGUCAUUUCCACCAGCUGCUCCUUCAUGAGGGC